RNAcentral lists this ribosomal RNA (927 nucleotides) under uncultured Bacteroidota bacterium. Its description in RNAcentral is "bacterial SSU rRNA". It matches the Rfam family "Bacterial small subunit ribosomal RNA", at positions 1 to 918 of the family's 1533-position model. The record is from RNAcentral. Lineage: Bacteria; Pseudomonadati; Bacteroidota.
UGGAUCCAGACUUUGAUCCUGGCUCAGGAUGAACGCUAGCUACAGGCUUAACACAUGCAAGUCGAGGGGAAACGACAUCGAAAGCUUGCUUUUGAUGGGCGUCGACCGGCGCACGGGUGAGUAACGCGUAUCCAACCUGCCCACCACUUGGGGAUAACCUUGCGAAAGUAAGACUAAUACCCAAUGAUAUCUCUAGAAGACAUCUGAAAGAGAUUAAAGAUUUAUCGGUGAUGGAUGGGGAUGCGUCUGAUUAGCUUGUUGGCGGGGUAACGGCCCACCAAGGCAACGAUCAGUAGGGGUUCUGAGAGGAAGGUCCCCCACAUUGGAACUGAGACACGGUCCAAACUCCUACGGGAGGCAGCAGUGAGGAAUAUUGGUCAAUGGACGAGAGUCUGAACCAGCCAAGUAGCGUGCAGGAUGACGGCCCUAUGGGUUGUAAACUGCUUUUAUAAGGGAAUAAAGUGAGUCUCGUGAGACUUUUUGCAUGUACCUUAUGAAUAAGGACCGGCUAAUUCCGUGCCAGCAGCCGCGGUAAUACGGAAGGUCCGGGCGUUAUCCGGAUUUAUUGGGUUUAAAGGGAGCGUAGGCCGGAGAUUAAGCGUGUUGCGAAGUGUAGACGCUCAACGUCUGCACUGCAGCGCGAACUGGUUUCCUUGAGUACGCACAAAGUGGGCGGAAUUCGUGGUGUAGCGGUGAAAUGCUUAGAUAUCACGAAGAACUCCGAUUGCGAAGGCAGCUCACUGGAGCGCAACUGACGCUGAAGCUCGAAAGUGCGGGUAUCGAACAGGAUUAGAUACCCUGGUAGUCCGCACGGUAAACGAUGGAUGCCCGCUGUUGGUCUGAAUAGGUCAGCGGUCAAGCGAAAGCAUUAAGCAUCCCACCUGGGGAGUACGCCGGCAACGGUGCAACUCAAAUGAAUUGACGGAA